UACGUAGGCAGCAAGCGUUGUUCGGAAUUACUGGGCGAAAAGAGGGUGUAGGCGGUGCUCUAAGUUUGGUGUGAAAUCUCCCGGCUCAACUGGGAGGGUGCGCCGAAAACUGGAAUGCUUGAACAUGGGAGAGGAAAGCGGAAUUCCUGGUGUAGCGGUGAAAUGCGUAGAUAUCAGGAGGAACACCUGCGGUGUAGACGGCUUUCUGGACCAUUGUUGACGCUGAGACACGAAAGCGUGGGUAGCAAACAGG
RNAcentral lists this ribosomal RNA (253 nucleotides) under uncultured bacterium. Its description in RNAcentral is "partial 16S ribosomal RNA". It matches the Rfam family "Bacterial small subunit ribosomal RNA", at positions 524 to 776 of the family's 1533-position model. The record is from RNAcentral.